UUCUCAUCAAAGAGUGUUCUAUAGGGAAGAGAUAAAACCUAAACAGUCCCGGAAGCUGAGACAAGAAACUGAAAAAAAAAGGAAAGUGAGCAACAAGAUAAUGUAAGUCACAACUGAGCCAAUUAAGGAGCAGGAGAUGCAGCAGCAUGUCCCAAACAAAACUGAUUGGAGGUCAAGUGUGGACAACCAGAGCAAGUUCUUGCACAGCUAAUGUAUCCCCAGGUGUGAACUGAGUAACAUGAAGAAAGGCAUCCUCCUGCCACCUCCUGAAUCAGUAGAAAAAGACAAAAGCUUUUGAUGGGAUUAUGCUGGAGUCCAUGUCAUGGAACCAAACUGGAAAUUUUCUGGCAUGAUUUUAGGCGUUUUGCAUGAACUCUAAUUCAUUGAAAUGUAACAACCUUAUAAGGUCCCUGCAGGACCAUGUCACCCAAAAUAAUGCAUCAGAUAUAAGGACUUGUCUUUUACUCAUUUACUUCUUGGACCUACUUAGAAAACUGUGGCAGCACUGUUUUGUUAUUAUUGUCUUAAGUGCAUGAUCCAACUUGGAAAGAUUCAACUGGCUCAUGGUUUGUACCGGGGGAACCAAGCCCAUGGUUGGGAUCCAGGGGUCCCUCCAGUCUCCUGUUCCAUGGUCGCACACACCUUGAGGGCACCCACACGGUUUGAUCGUCUCCUUAUAUUGCUGCUGGCAGACUCGUGACGGGGUUUCUCAUUCAUCUGGGUGUACAAGAAGCAUGGUGCCAGCAUCUGCUCAGCUUCUGAUGAGGGCUCUGGGAAGCUUUUACUCAUGGAGGAAGGCAAGGGGAACCAGCAUGUCACAUGAUGAGAAAGGAAGCAUGAGAGAGAGGUGCCAGACUCUUCAACAACCAGAAGAGAAAGUCAGAGAGAAUCAAAGCAUGUGAAGAGAGACCUCACGCAAGGAGGUCUAGGAGCCUAGAGUGAUCUUCAGCCAACAGUCAAAAAGAUAACUGGGACAACCACAAGGAACUGACUUCUAUAAGAGAAAUGAGCCUGGAAAAGGACUCCAAGCUUCAGAUGAAAAUGUAGUUGGCUGACACUUUGAUUUUAGUCUUGUGAAACCCUAAGCAGAGAAUCCAAGUAAGUCCCCCUGAACUUCUCACCUAAAGAACAAUGAGUUAAUAAAUAAG
Molecule: long non-coding RNA, 1148 nt
Filed under: Homo sapiens (human)
Lineage: Eukaryota; Metazoa; Chordata; Mammalia; Primates; Hominidae
Description: HSALNT0351584
Source: RNAcentral